RNAcentral lists this ribosomal RNA (433 nucleotides) under uncultured bacterium. Its description in RNAcentral is "bacterial SSU rRNA". It matches the Rfam family "Bacterial small subunit ribosomal RNA", at positions 28 to 507 of the family's 1533-position model. The record is from RNAcentral.
GACGAACGCUGGCGGCAGGCCUAACACAUGCAAGUCGAGCGAGACCUUCGGGUCUAGCGGCGGACGGGUUAGUAACGCGUGGGAACGUGCCCUUCUCUGCGGAAUAGCCACUGGAAACGGUGAGUAAUACCGCAUACGCCCUUCGGGGGAAAGAUUUAUCGGAGAAGGAUCGGCCCGCGUUAGAUUAGAUAGUUGGUGGGGUAACGGCCUACCAAGUCUACGAUCUAUAGCUGGUUUUAGAGGAUGAUCAGCAACACUGGGACUGAGACACGGCCCAGACUCCUACGGGAGGCAGCAGUGAGGAAUAUUGGACAAUGGGCGAGAGCCUGAUCUAGCCAUGCCGCGUGUGUGAUGAAGGUCUUAGGAUCGUAAAGCACUUUCGCCAGGGAUGAUAAUGACGGUACCCGCAGAAUAAGCUCCGGCUAACUUCGUG